RNAcentral lists this long non-coding RNA (461 nucleotides) under Cricetulus griseus (Chinese hamster). RNAcentral's name for it is "lncRNA (ENSCGRG00015042670.1)". Lineage: Eukaryota; Metazoa; Chordata; Mammalia; Rodentia; Cricetidae. The record is from RNAcentral.
AAUGCUCCACAGUCCGAGGAUUAUUUCGUUGCUUGCCGGCUGGGAACCUCGCUGAAGCUGGCAUGGGAGCAGAGCGGGGUAAACACGUGUGUUCAUAAUAACCACUCCAGAUCACCGAGCAUCGUCUAAGGUCAGGCCCUUUGCCAAGCGCUGCACCUACUUGAUUUCACCUAAUGGAAGGAACAAAAUGAGAGCUCUGGGCAAGUAGAGCCACACCUCUCUCACAGUCUACACUGUGAGAGAGCCAGGCCUGGAUGUGGGAGACCAGAAACCAGGGCUCUGUGCUUGAUUCUGUGAACAGAUGUAACACCAUGGCUCUGACUCCGAAUUCGGCUCGCCAAGGAAUGAGUCUAAAGCAUUUCGCCAGCCAGCGGAUGAUGCUGAGGAAGGGAUGCUUCUGGGAAGUCACUAGAUUGAAGUUGUCCCUGAAGAUGGAGAUUGAAUAACACAAGAGAGAAGAG